UCAACAAUGUUCAUUGUACUCAAAUUGAUACCUAUAAAUAGCAAAAUCAGAGAAACUGAAGUGGUCUUUUAAUUUUUUUCCAGCGCUGUAUAUUCAUCACUAUUCUAUCUUUCAAAAACACUAGCAGUUUUAACAUUAAAAUUUUAUGUCCUGUUAUAUUUAUUGAAACAGACUGACAAGUUUUAAUGUACUAAGAGACCUUUACUAUCAUUAUUCACACAUCACAAACUGAUUAGACGAACGAAUGAACAACACAAACUCAAAUUACAGGAUUUUUAUUUAUUUUCUUGGCAGUGAUUAUUCACAUCCUGGCACUGUUGCAAAACCUCCAGGAGACUAUCACAAACAGUUGAAAUAACUAAAGGUUUUGGCAAACCGGGGGGGUUUUGCCUGCACAUGGAGCCUUGAGAAAUGAACCUUUUCUUAAAUCACUUGGCUGAAAAGCUUUAAAGCUUCAUCAAACCAUCACUAUUUUCCACUAUCAAACAUAUAUAGUAUUUCACAUACAUUUACUAUUUGUAAGUUGCUUAACAAAACAAAUGACACCGCAAUAAUUCCAUGGGCCCAAACAGCUCUAAAACAAAACGUAACCGUAUGGCUUGCACAGCCUUAAAUAGCACCAAACAGGAAGUGUAGUGAUGUCACCUCCUGGCAUUUUGGAGGGAAACCGGACAAUAAAAGUCCCCCCAAACAAACACAAUAGUUUCCCCACUGAGUUAAGACAUGGACAGCACCUGCCACAACAAACAACCACAGAUAAUCUGCCUGCUCUGGACUACUCAGACUUCAAUUCCCAGCAUGCACUCAUACCAGACUCUGCUGAUCAUGUGACACUACAGUGUUCUUGCUCCCCCGGGUUGCUGAUUGUUUCCACCUGGUCUCUCCAGUAUAAAUGCCCCUCAGUUUGUUCUGUAUUAAAAUCUAGUCAGCUAGCUCUUCUACAUUUCCUUUGUUUAUAAACUAUUUUAAUAAACUAUUUUACUGCUUUCUUCA
Long non-coding RNA from Astyanax mexicanus (Mexican tetra), 993 nucleotides. RefSeq lists it as uncharacterized. The record is from RefSeq and is a predicted model, not a curated record. The transcript is spliced from 2 exons. NCBI's taxonomy places the organism in Eukaryota, Metazoa, Chordata, Actinopteri, Characiformes, Acestrorhamphidae.